AGAACUCACAUACCUGUAUCCUGUAGAAGAAAAGAAAAAAUAUGGUAAAGGGUGUUUACUUUCCGAGCAUUGAUGGAUGCCUGCUAUGUGCCAAGCUCCCUUCCAGGUUCUAUCUUUGGACCUACUGGAAUAGCAUCUAUCAGCUCUUAAGGUCUAGGAAGAGGUGGAUUGAGGCCAGCACUGGUGGGACUUUGAGAAAGGCUCUUUCUGUGGCAGAUGCCUUGGAUGCUGCUUGGACCAGCCUGGGCCAUGGAGCACAUGAGAAGUUCACGUUUGGCAGCUCCACCCAAACGUUGUGAAGUUGAGUAGCAGCUGUUCCUCAAAGAAGGACAUUUGUGUCACCUGAAGAAUAGGAAGAAAUGCUUUGCAGAGAGAAGCGACAUGUGACCCAGAAACUUUUAACCAAGACAGCUAAGACAAGCACUGGACUCUGGCACCCGGGAGCUCUGUUUGCUUUUGCUGAGUGAUCCUGUACACCAACCACCCCACCAACAGUGGCUUAAAAGACAGGCAUUUCUUUUCUUCUUCUUCUGGCUGCUCUGGCUGGCUGCUCUGAAGGCCAUCUGGAUGAGGCUCUAGGCUACAGGGCAUGUUCAGAUCUGCUCCCUUUAUCUCACUCUGGAACCCCGCUGAGAGGGCAAUGGCUACCUGGAGGUGUUCUUGUUAUGAUGAUCACUAGAGCACCUAAGGGCCAGGCCAGGCAUGCAAAUUGAGGGCUCAGCUCAGGACCUAGCUGCUAAUAUGCCAAGCCCUUGAUUGCGGUUCCAGCACCUGCCAAGAUUACAUACCCUAGGAAGGAGAAACCAGCCCAGUGUCCGUAGGAGCUUAAGAAACGAGUCUACUC
Artibeus jamaicensis (Jamaican fruit-eating bat) is the source of this 844-nucleotide long non-coding RNA. RefSeq lists it as uncharacterized. The transcript is spliced from 3 exons. The record is from RefSeq and is a predicted model, not a curated record. NCBI's taxonomy places the organism in Eukaryota, Metazoa, Chordata, Mammalia, Chiroptera, Phyllostomidae.